AUCAAGCUGACGAGUCCCAAAUAGGAAGAAACGCGUGUCUUGGAU
This 45-nucleotide non-coding RNA is filed under the name Schistosoma haematobium. Lineage: Eukaryota; Metazoa; Platyhelminthes; Trematoda; Strigeidida; Schistosomatidae. The record is from RNAcentral.